UCAGGACGAACGCUGGCGGCGUGCUUAACACAUGCAAGUCGAACGAUGAAGCCUUUCGGGGUGGAUUAGUGGCGAACGGGUGAGUAACACGUGGGCAAUCUGCCCUUCACUCUGGGACAAGCCCUGGAAACGGGGUCUAAUACCGGAUAACACUCUGUUCCGCAUGGGACGGGGUUAAAAGCUCCGGCGGUGAAGGAUGAGCCCGCGGCCUAUCAGCUUGUUGGUGGGGUAAUGGCCUACCAAGGCGACGACGGGUAGCCGGCCUGAGAGGGCGACCGGCCACACUGGGACUGAGACACGGCCCAGACUCCUACGGGAGGCAGCAGUGGGGAAUAUUGCACAAUGGGCGAAAGCCUGAUGCAGCGACGCCGCGUGAGGGAUGACGGCCUUCGGGUUGUAAACCUCUUUCAGCAGGGAAGAAGCGAAAGUGACGGUACCUGCAGAAGAAGCGCCGGCUAACUACGUGCCAGCAGCCGCGGUAAUACGUAGGGCGCAAGCGUUGUCCGGAAUUAUUGGGCGUAAAGAGCUCGUAGGCGGCUUGUCACGUCGGAUGUGAAAGCCCGGGGCUUAACCCCGGGUC
RNAcentral lists this ribosomal RNA (580 nucleotides) under Streptomyces sp. ACM11. RNAcentral describes it as "bacterial SSU rRNA". It matches the Rfam family "Bacterial small subunit ribosomal RNA", at positions 24 to 621 of the family's 1533-position model. The record is from RNAcentral. Lineage: Bacteria; Bacillati; Actinomycetota; Actinomycetes; Kitasatosporales; Streptomycetaceae.